GGUAUAUAUCCGGAAGUGGAAUUGCUGGAUCCUAUGGGCCACUGUCAAUAAUGUUUAGCAGGCGGCAGCGGCUGCUCACCAGGGCCGUCGUUCACCAAUUCCUGGAGCACCCUGAAGGAGCCCGACUGGCGAGGCUGAGAAGGCUCAUCCCGAUUGUCGUGGAGCAUCCGGUACACGUCCGACUGGGGCGGCACCGAGGCUGUGGGUUCACUGAAACACAAGCACGGCCGGCAAAGCACGGUCAGGGCACUGGGAUGCCGCGGGAACCAGUAAGCAGCAAUCACAGCAAUCACUCUAGGUCCAGCAACUCCCAAACGGAGAGCCAGUAUUUUCAAGUCUCAACAUACAGAUCAUGAAUCAAGUGAUGACCGACCAUCCACAGCAGGCGUCAUAACUCCAGGAGUCUACAGGGGCCAGGAGGGUCACACGUGUAUGAAAAUGCCCCUCUCACACUUAGGAGAGAUGCGCAUUUGGACAAACUGAUGAGUGAGUUGAAGGAUGGUGCUUUUCUG
This is a long non-coding RNA of Lemur catta (Ring-tailed lemur), 512 nucleotides long. RefSeq lists it as uncharacterized. The transcript has 4 exons. Lineage: Eukaryota; Metazoa; Chordata; Mammalia; Primates; Lemuridae. The record is from RefSeq and is a predicted model, not a curated record.